UACGUAGGGUGCGAGCGUUGUCCGGAAUUAUUGGGCGUAAAGGGCUCGUAGGCGGUUUGUCGCGUCGGGAGUGAAAACCAGGUGCUUAACACCUGGCUUGCUUUCGAUACGGGCAGACUAGAGGUAUUCAGGGGAGAACGGAAUUCCUGGUGUAGCGGUGAAAUGCGCAGAUAUCAGGAGGAACACCGAUUGCGAAGGCAGCUCGCUGGGACGUUACUGACGCUGAGACGCGAAAGCGUGGGUAGCAAACGGG
Molecule: ribosomal RNA, 253 nt
Filed under: uncultured bacterium
Lineage: Bacteria
Description: partial 16S ribosomal RNA
Rfam family: Bacterial small subunit ribosomal RNA
Source: RNAcentral